RNAcentral lists this long non-coding RNA (208 nucleotides) under Lathyrus oleraceus (garden pea). Its description in RNAcentral is "Pisum sativum (pea) long non-coding RNA (PSAT_LNC038699)". The record is from RNAcentral. Lineage: Eukaryota; Viridiplantae; Streptophyta; Magnoliopsida; Fabales; Fabaceae.
AUUGCAACAUCCACACUACUUCCGCACUCGGUGUUGACUUGUCUCCCUAUGGUAAUUCUCUCCGUUCCAAUUACAAAACCAUUCUACUAGAAGUCCUUAAAUCCGACUUAAUUGCUCUUAUCCUCAACCAGUUCUCAUACAACCAAAGCCCACUGGAGCUUCCAUUACUAUAUAAUGUGCGCUAUCGGCCUCCAACACAAACUCUUAU